RNAcentral lists this ribosomal RNA (299 nucleotides) under uncultured bacterium. RNAcentral describes it as "partial 16S ribosomal RNA". It matches the Rfam family "Bacterial small subunit ribosomal RNA", at positions 338 to 636 of the family's 1533-position model. The record is from RNAcentral.
CCUACGGGACGCAGCAGUGAGGAAUAUUGGUCAAUGGCCGGAAGGCUGAACCAGCCAAGCCGCGUGAAGGACGAAGGUGCCAAGCAUUGUAAACUUCUUUUGUCAAGGGACAAAGUCAGGCUCGAGAGCCUGACCGAGGGAACUUGAAGAAAAAGCAUCGGCUAACUCCGUGCCAGCAGCCGCGGUAAUACGGAGGAUGCGAGCGUUAUCCGGAUUUAUUGGGUUUAAAGGGUGCGUAGGCGGACUGUUAAGUCAGCGGUAAAAGCCCGGGGCUCAACCCCGCCGAGCCGUAAAACAGG